CCUACGGGAGGCAGCAGUGGGGAAUAUUGCACAAUGGGGGAAACCCUGAUGCAGCGACGCCGCGUGAGUGAAGAAGUAUCUCGGUACGUAAAGCUCUAUCAGCAGGGAAGCAAAUGCCGGUACCUGACUAAGAAGCACCGGCUAACUACGUGCCAGCAGCCGCGGUAAUACGUAGGGGGCAAGCGUUAUCCGGAUUUUCUGGGUGUAAAGGGAGCGUAGGCGGCAGCACAAGUCUGGAGGGAAAUGCCGGGGCUUAAACCCGGAACUGCUUUUGAAACUGGGCGGCUGGAGUGCAGGAGGGGUAAGGGGAAUUCCUAGUGUAGCGGUGAAAUGCGGAGAUAUUAGGAGGAACACCGGUGGCGAAGGCAGCUUGCUGGACUGUAACUGACGUUGAGGCUCGAAAGCGUGGGGAGCGAACAGGAUUAGAUACCCGAGUAGUC
RNAcentral lists this ribosomal RNA (440 nucleotides) under uncultured bacterium. Its description in RNAcentral is "partial 16S ribosomal RNA". It matches the Rfam family "Bacterial small subunit ribosomal RNA", at positions 338 to 795 of the family's 1533-position model. The record is from RNAcentral.